Callithrix jacchus (white-tufted-ear marmoset) is the source of this 298-nucleotide unclassified non-coding RNA. It matches the Rfam family "Metazoan signal recognition particle RNA". Rfam says of the family: The signal recognition particle (SRP) is a universally conserved ribonucleoprotein. It is involved in the co-translational targeting of proteins to membranes. The eukaryotic SRP consists of a 300-nucleotide 7S RNA and six proteins: SRPs 72, 68, 54, 19, 14, and 9. The record is from Ensembl. NCBI's taxonomy places the organism in Eukaryota, Metazoa, Chordata, Mammalia, Primates, Cebidae.
GGUGGGUGCAGUAGCGCAUGCCUGUAGUCCCAGCUACUUGGGAGGCUGAGGUGGGACGAUUGCUUGAGCCCAGGAGUUCUGGGCUGUAGUGUGCUAUGCCAGUCAGGUGUCUGCACUAAUCUGGCAUCAAUAUGGUAACCUCCUGGAAGCGGGGCACCACCAGGUUGCCUAUAGAGGAGUGAACCAGCCCAGGUUGGAAACGGAGCAGGUCAAAACUCCCGUGCUGAUCAGUAGUGGGAUCACGACUAUGAAUAGCUGCUGCACUCCAGCCUGGGCAGCAUAGCAAGACCCACUCUCU